RNAcentral lists this ribosomal RNA (803 nucleotides) under Bifidobacterium breve. Its description in RNAcentral is "bacterial SSU rRNA". It matches the Rfam family "Bacterial small subunit ribosomal RNA", at positions 209 to 1016 of the family's 1533-position model. The record is from RNAcentral. Lineage: Bacteria; Bacillati; Actinomycetota; Actinomycetes; Bifidobacteriales; Bifidobacteriaceae.
CCUUUGCGGCAUGGGGAUGGGGUCGCGUCCUAUCAGCUUGAUGGCGGGGUAACGGCCCACCAUGGCUUCGACGGGUAGCCGGCCUGAGAGGGCGACCGGCCACAUUGGGACUGAGAUACGGCCCAGACUCCUACGGGAGGCAGCAGUGGGGAAUAUUGCACAAUGGGCGCAAGCCUGAUGCAGCGACGCCGCGUGAGGGAUGGAGGCCUUCGGGUUGUAAACCUCUUUUGUUAGGGAGCAAGGCACUUUGUGUUGAGUGUACCUUUCGAAUAAGCACCGGCUAACUACGUGCCAGCAGCCGCGGUAAUACGUAGGGUGCAAGCGUUAUCCGGAAUUAUUGGGCGUAAAGGGCUCGUAGGCGGUUCGUCGCGUCCGGUGUGAAAGUCCAUCGCUUAACGGUGGAUCCGCGCCGGGUACGGGCGGGCUUGAGUGCGGUAGGGGAGACUGGAAUUCCCGGUGUAACGGUGGAAUGUGUAGAUAUCGGGAAGAACACCAAUGGCGAAGGCAGGUCUCUGGGCCGUUACUGACGCUGAGGAGCGAAAGCGUGGGGAGCGAACAGGAUUAGAUACCCUGGUAGUCCACGCCGUAAACGGUGGAUGCUGGNAUGUGGGGCCCGUUCCACGGGUUCCGUGUCGGAGCUAACGCGUUAAGCAUCCCGCCUGGGGAGUACGGCCGCAAGGCUAAAACUCAAAGAAAUUGACGGGGGCCCGCACAAGCGGCGGAGCAUGCGGAUUAAUUCGAUGCAACGCGAAGAACCUUACCUGGGCUUGACAUGUNCCCGACGCCCANGAGAUGGGGUUCCC